RNAcentral lists this long non-coding RNA (382 nucleotides) under Equus caballus (horse). RNAcentral describes it as "lncRNA (ENSECAG00000056211.1)". The record is from RNAcentral. Lineage: Eukaryota; Metazoa; Chordata; Mammalia; Perissodactyla; Equidae.
CUGAAACUCAGUGACAUAUUUCCUAAUAUUUUGCGGAAAUAUCCAGUCUCUCCUUGUCAAGGCAUACAUUCGAGGGAUAUGUGUUUUCACCAGGGUAGGAGAAGCUUUGAAAAUAAGGUCUCUUAAGAUAUCAUCUGAUCCUGGACUCUAGAGGGCAGCACCAGGAGUACACUGAAGAGUGGAGGAACGCUUCUGGCCCAUGCGCAAGUUUCUAGUUGUGCCUUGCCAUUGCUGAAGAAUCUGCAGGUGGAUUGGCAAUCUCCAAAGCAGAACGUGAAGAAUAUCUGAUUACAACUGGCUAGGCACAAGGAAUGUACAACCCAAUGAACAAGGACUUUGUCUGCUUUUAUUCCUUUAUAUGUCUCCAGUACCUAAAACACUG